Molecule: long non-coding RNA, 835 nt
Organism: Cebus imitator (Panamanian white-faced capuchin)
Lineage: Eukaryota; Metazoa; Chordata; Mammalia; Primates; Cebidae
Exons: 4
Source: RefSeq, a predicted model, not a curated record
GGCCUUUUGUCCCCAGGCCGCACACGCGCCGGACCGGGGACCUCUGUGCCCCGCCUGGCCGCGGCCUAGUCCCGGCAGACCGGACUGACAAGGUCACCAAGCUGGCAAGGGUAUCAGUGACUUGAGAACCCCCCCGCUUCCCCAGCCCCGAUCCCGCUUUCCUUUGGGUUUCACCCCAGGGGCCCGGACCUCACUUUUGCAGUUUCCUCAUCCUCAAGGUGGAUUGCACCUUCGGGCAUCUCAAAUGGUUCUCGUGAAGAUUAAAUGAAUCAAUCAGGCUGGGUGCAGUGGCUCAUGCCUGUAAUCCCAGCACUUCGGGAGGCCGAGGCAGGUGGAUCGCUUGAGCUCAGGUAUUUAAGACCAGCCUGGUGAACAUGCUGCCAGCAGCCUCAAAGCCACCUGGGACUGCACAGUAUGUCUGUGUGCGCCUUGCUUUGCAUCACCCCCUGGACCUCCAGUGACCGAGAUCUCCCGCCAGACACCCGGGGCUGAGUCCUCGGAGAAGCCGCCUGCCGGGUGCAUCACCAGGACUCCAUUGGUGGUCAGUCCAUCCAUCAGGCCAUCUGGGGUCCGCCAUUUGGCCGCCCGCUCCUGGGACCACAUAAGGGAUCAGAUCAUAUCCCCCAGUGGCCCACCAGCAGGCCAUGUGCCAGAGGCACUGCCCCUCUACUCUCAAGUUUAGAGAUGGACCAGAGAGGCCUGGCAUUGAAGCUGCAUGACUUGAGCAUCUCUCUGGGCUUCACUUUGCUCAUCGGUUAGCUGGGGUUGCUAAGCCCUGCCAGGACCAUCAUUUGAAUUACUGUGGGUUGGUUCACCCCAAGAUGUUGCACCUCCC